This 73-nucleotide transfer RNA is filed under the name Camelus bactrianus (Bactrian camel). It matches the Rfam family "tRNA". From Rfam's summary of the family: Transfer RNA (tRNA) molecules are approximately 80 nucleotides in length. The record is from Rfam by way of RNAcentral. RNAcentral also lists the same sequence under 3 other names. Lineage: Eukaryota; Metazoa; Chordata; Mammalia; Artiodactyla; Camelidae.
GAGGGUAUAGCUCAAGUGGUAGAGCACAUGCUUAGCAUGCAUGAGGUCCUAGGUUCAAUCCCCAGUACCUCCU